RNAcentral lists this transfer RNA (64 nucleotides) under Glycera tesselata. Its description in RNAcentral is "tRNA-Asp". The record is from RNAcentral. Lineage: Eukaryota; Metazoa; Annelida; Polychaeta; Phyllodocida; Glyceridae.
AAGAGCCUAGUUAAUAUAUAACAUGAGAUUGUCAAUUUCAAAUUACUCUUCUGAGUGGUUCUUA